This 6327-nucleotide long non-coding RNA is filed under the name Nicotiana benthamiana. RNAcentral describes it as "long non-coding RNA (NBEN_LNC012499)". The record is from RNAcentral. Lineage: Eukaryota; Viridiplantae; Streptophyta; Magnoliopsida; Solanales; Solanaceae.
GGAAAAAAAAAAGGAAAGUAAAAAAUCCCAAGUUUCAUAGAAUAACAAAAAGAAAAUCAAUUCUACUGUAAAGUGUAAAAGAUAUGCAACCCUUUUUCUUUUUCCAAAGAUUAUUUUGUCCCUUCAUUUUCUUAUCAAUUCGUUUCUUUUAUAUAUAUUCUUUUUUUCUCCUCCUCUUCUACUACUAUUUUUUUUCUGUGUCCAAACAAAAUAAGUUCAGUAAGCAAUAAUAAAGCUUGUUAUGGCUCCAUGUACAAGUUUCUUGCCUCUAUUAAUGGAAAUAUGAAAGGUACUCCUCAUUUCUCGUUUUACCCUUCCUUCUUCAUUCACUAAAUUUUUUAUAUAUGUUAUGUGUAUUUUCAAUAUGUAAUACAGAUACAACAAUAUAUCCAAUAUAUUUUUAUAAGUGAGGUUUGAGGAAAAUAGUACUUACGUAAACCUUACCUCUAUAUUGUGAAUGUAGAACAGUGGCGAAGUUAAGAAGUUUUCAAGGAUGUCCAAAUUUAAAAGAAGUGAAAAAACUUCCGACAAAGAGUGUUCAAUAUGUGUUAUAGACCUUUAAAACGUAAUAUUUUACCUAUACAUAGUAUAAUUUUUCGAUGAAGGGUAGUGAAUUGUCCUUCGCCACUGAAAUAGAGAGACUAUUUCCAAUAGAUAGAAAAAAACAUAAAUAUGUAACAUAGAUAUAUAUAUGUGAAAUUUAUUAAUAUUUCCACAAAUAUAAUUAUGUUGUAGAUGGCAGUUAUAAAUGCAGAAAAGUAGGGUUUGAUCUGUGAAAAAUCUGUUGGGAAAAGGAUUGAUAUCUGUGUAUAUUACUUAUUUGGUUCUUUUGUUUUGGUUAUAUAUAUAUAUAUAUUCAGUCUCAGAUCUCCAUUAGUGUCUAUUUUUUGGUUUGUCCAUUCUAUAGGUUUUUUUUGCUUUAUAUACUCUUUGAGCUUCUAUCGUUUUCUUGAGUUCUACUUUGGUAUAUGAGACUUGAUAGUAUUAAACUAGCAAUCAAUUACAACAUCAUGCUCUUAUUUCUAACUUCUAAGGUAGCAUUUUUUUAAUGAGAAUUGGUAGUAUUGAUCUUGAUUUUUUAAUAUUUUUUAAGUAUUUUAAAUUUUAAUUAUUGUAAUUUAAAGUAAUUCUAAUAUAGUUUUUAAGUAUAUAAAUUUUAUUUUAAAAACUUAAAGACUUUAUAUCCAAAUUCGCGGUCAAAAAAUAACAUGUCUAGCAGUUAAAAUCCGAAAGAACUACUAUUUUUAUCAGAUAUUUAUAAUGAAGGCCUAUCAUAACUAAAAUCCCGCUAGAGAUGGAGUUAGAAUUUAAAGCUUACGAACUUGAUAUUCAAAUUCUGUUUAGUCUUCGUUUUGGUUGCAAAGCGGGAAAUUUAGGGAUUAACAAUAUUGAGAUUGUUAUCCCACAUCCAAUAUGCUAAAAAUAUUUUAGUUUCAAUAGGAGUAUCAUAAUAAAUUUGGAAAUAAGGAUUUGAAUUUUAUUACUUGUUGGCUUGUAACUGUUUCAUAACUUCAAGACAAAAAAAAAAAUUAAUGCUUUAUUAUUUUUAAACUUUAUAUAGAAAUAUAUAUGUUCACAUUGUAAAUUUAUUUGGUACUGUUUUGAUUUAUUUUGAUGACCUAAUAAGUAAUAAUUGUAACGAAAUAUUUAAAAGAUAAAUUAAAAAAUUGAAAGUUACUUAGUGGGACCACUAAGUUUGAAAAUUGGGUCCCACAAACACUUAUUAUAUUUGACUAAAAAGAGUCAACAAAACCAAGUUAUUAUUGGGAAAAGCAGCUAAUUAAAAAUCUCUUUUAGCUGCUAUAUAAACACCUUUCCCUAGAAUCCACAAACGAAUGUUAGGCCACAAAAACAGUAUUCUAGGGUAAAGGUGGGUGUUAGUUUCUUUGGUGAUAGUCUCGAGAAACAUAAAGAAAUUAUAUAAAAAUGAAAAACUAAACGGUAAAAAUCUUUUUAAAAAAUCAAAAAAUUGAUUUCUUGAAGUUGAUGCCUUUUUAGUCAGUAGAGCCAGGUCUUCUCUCAUAAAAUACUUGUACUACAUAUAAUAUACAUUACUCUAAAGCUGCAAAAAUACAGUUUGAAUUAGUGUUAUUAAAAUAAUGUAAAAGCUUUUUUAAAAAUCUAUAAGAAAAAAUUAUAAGGGGUUGUUUGGUAGGACAUAUAAGGGGAAAUUUUAUUUAUAUAUAUAUAUAUAUAUAUAUAUAUAUAUAUAUAUAUACUAUAAUAUUUUAAUGGUUUCAAUUAUGUAAAUAUAUUUUCUUUUUAAUCGGUGCAAAGAAGAAUAAUUUCUUUCUAUAUAUGUGUCCCAUUUUACAUCAUAAAUUUCAAAGUCUUUUUAAUUUUUUGUUAAAUUAUGUACCCAAUCAAAUAUGUUCAAUUUAAUAUAUAUAUAUAUAUAUAUAUAUAUAUAUAUUAUGUAGUAUUCGCAUAUACAACAAAUCAUGACAUUAGCAAUACAUUAGGUUUUAAUAUACGAAAAAAAACCAAAACAAAAUUGUUGUUACAAAACCUUUAGUAAUACACACAAUCAAACAAGUCGAUAAGAAAUAAUUUCAGUAUAACUAAUUUUAAUAUUACUAAUAUGUCUUACUCAAUUAUUCUUAUAGUAUAUACUAUAUAAAGUCAUACUUUCUAAGGUUUAUUGAUGGCACUGAUAUGCUACUUCCUCCAGUUCAAAAUAAAUAAUUUUUUGAAUGUUUUCACACAAAUUAAGAGAUUCAUCUUUUAACAUUAAUUAGUAAUGGAAUUGACCAUAUUAAUUUUUACUAUCUCACAUAAAACUCCUAACACAUAUUCCAAAAACAAUAUAGGAAAAAAAUUAUUAAUUCAUUUUUUGAAAUCUAAAAAAAUUACUUAUUUUGGGCUAAAAAAAAUGCCAAAAAAUUAUUUAUUUUUAGAUCGGAGGGAGUAUUUUUUUUAUCGUCUUCUUUUCGUCUUAAUCAAUUGAGGGACUAUCAAAAACUUAAAAUAAGAAAAAUGAGCCUCUUAUUGUAUUAUACUAUUAAGUACUAUGCAAAUGAGCCUCCCUUAUUGAAUCUGCAAUCUGCAUCAGCAUCAGCAUCUAGGAAGGAUAGAAAGGACAAUUUGUAAUUAAUGAAAUGUUAAAUAAAGGAAAGAAAAUAAGACAGAGAUUGCUUGUGCAAAUCUAGAUAUACUGGGAAUUGGACUUUUGAGGCAAGCAAGGUAUGAAGUGAAAAUGUGGGUUUCCUCUCACUUGCUUUUAUUUCUUAUUUUGCUUUGGGAAAUUGACCCAAGGGUGUUUUCUUGGCGGUGAAAAGUAAAGGUUAAGUGGCAACAUUUACCCUCUUUGACAAAUUUUGUGGGUGGGAGGAUGUAAUAAAUAGCGAUAAAUCGAAAUAUGAGUUUGUGCGAAUCCAAUAAUAUUUAUCUAGAUUUUUGUAUAUACAUCAAUAAAAUAUAUUAAUUAAAUAUUAUUAUAGGAAUUCAUAAAUUUUAAAAUUCUGAAACUGCAUUUGACAUAUAUAGAUUUAGAGCGAGUUUUGCAAGUUCAAGUGAAGGUGAUCGUCAGUUAAACUCUAAUAUACGUAUCCAUCCAUACAUAAAUACAUACAUAAUAGGAAACAUUUUGUUAUUCGCUUAAAUUUUGAUAAAUAAAACGACUCGAUACCCGCCUAGGAUCUUUUGUAAGAGAUUACAUAAACUAAUUGCGCGCAAAUUAGCUCGAAGCCUAAGGGGUCGUUCGAUUGGAAUAUAAUUUAUACUCGCAUAAGUUAUAUUGGGAUAAGUUAUAUCAUGAUUGUUGCUUCUUCACUGUUUUAUAUGUUGUAUUAAGAAUGACAGUUGCAUAAUUUCUAAGAAGAAGGUAUAAGUUAUAUCGAUGUUAAUUACUCCACCCUAUAUAAGGUAUAAGUUAUCCCGGUGUUAAAGUUAACAUCGAGAUAACUUAUACCUGAUUUGCUAACCAAAUAGAGAAUUAAGGUUGUAUUAAAUUUUUAUACCACCCAUAUACAUUCUUAUGCUUCAUACUAAAUGAACCCUAAAAGUGUUAAAUAUCCAAUCUUAUGUAGCUCAUGAACGUAGAGCUCGUUUGGUGGGGAAAUAAGUUAUCCAAGAUUAAUUAUUCCGAAAUUGUUAUCCCACCUUUUUAUAAAGAUAAAAAUAAUACUAUAAUUCCGAAAUAAUUAAUUUCGAUUAGUCAUAAUAUAAUUUUAUCCUAAUUAAAAUAUAAAAUAAAUUUAUUUUAUAAAUUUUAUUCCAAAAUUAGCUAACCUUUAUUUCUUGUACCAAACGAGCCCUGAACAUGGGGUUUAGGAGAUGGGGUUUUAGUGGCAAUCAAUGUCAAGCCCAUGCCCCAAAAAAAAACCGUACACACACAAACACUAUUUUUCAUGUAUCAUUUACUUGGCUUCAUUAUGUUGCUUAAGACAAACGUUCACUGUGUUGGGACUAGACAUAUACAAACACACAAACACACACAAUGCAAAACAUUUCUAUUUUCUGAUUAGGCUCCUUAAGCUUCUUUCUCUUCUUCUUUUGCCCCCUUUUCUUCCUGCCCCAAAUUCCUUAUAGACUUCAGUUGUGCAUUACAACUACUGAAAGACAUUUUUACUUCUGAUUUUUAAGGUUAGGACAAUAUUUCUCAUCAAAAUAAAGUCCCCCAUUUGAAAAACCAUCAAAGGAGAGAAGUAAACAAGGAGAAAAAAAUACUUAUGAAAGGGUACCGUGAUUGGUAAGGACUUCUUCAUCUUUAACAAGAUGUCUCGAAUUUAAUAUCUUAAAAUAAAGUCCUCUUUGAUUGGGAGCGGUUAAACUCUAAUAGUGGAUUUUUUACCAUGCGAAUCUGAAUUAGUUGAGCCCUUAAGUUUCAAGACAGUAUUUAUGGUACCAUCUCACCAUUUCAAGGCCCAAGUUUCUACUUUUCUUGGUUUAACUUUCAACAUUAUUAAUCCUCUCGAGCCGAGUCUUUCGAAACAGCCACUCUAUAUCACGAUAGGGGUAAGAUUUGUCUACAUAUUGUUCUCCUAAACUAGAUUUGACUGAGUUUGUUGUUGUCGUUGGUUUAACCUUCAACAUUCAUUUGACUCAAAAUGCACCAAAAAAGACAAAAUGAAAGACCCAUUUAAGUUUCUUGAAGAUGGGGAGCUUAAAAAAUCUCAUCUUUUUUUCUUGUCCUAAUACUAUGUAGGACUUUAUUCUGGUGCUGGAAGCUUAAGAAAAAACGAGUGGGGAAAAUUAUCAAACACCUUGUGUGCAAUGCAGGUUCCAGUGGAUUUUGGUACUGUAGAUUUCAAGAAAAUGUUAUUACUUCAACUGCAAAUGCAAAUGCAGACAGUAGGUUUUAUUUCCGGCUACUUUAUGGGUUCAAAAUUUCAACUUUUUCUGCUUGAAAUGGAUUUCUCCAAUUGUUGUUCCAUUUGUUCAUGAUUCCCGGCGGUUGACGGCGGCUCACGGUGGUGGCGGCGGCGAAGGGGGGUGGUUUGUGGUGGUGAUAUUGGCGGGGACGGCUCAAUCUUUCUCUUAAUGGUACCUUUUUGUAUAUAAUUUUGAUCUUGAUUUUAACUUUAAUUUUUCUACAUCGCCUUUUGGUUUUUAUUGUUAUUGUAGAAAAUUUGGAAUUUUAACUAUAUUAUCUUUUUGGCCCAUUUUCAAGAAGAAAAAAAUUAGAAUUAAAUUGGAUUAUGCAGCAUUAGCAAUUUAUUCAUUUUGUUUGUUUUCUAUGCAUAAAAAGGGAAUUAAAAACAUCAAAUUUAUGCUAAAUAGUUAUUGUUUUCCCCUUUUGUUUCUAUUUCAAUUUUUGUCUUCUUUUUCUUUUUUCAACUUUAAUUUUCUACAUUGCCUUUUGGUUUUAAUUAUUGUUGUAGAAAAUUUGGAGUUAAUUACAUUAUCUUUUGGCCCAUUUUCAAGAAGGAAAAAAAUUACAAUUAAAUUGGAUUAUGCAGCAUCAGCUAUAUAUUCACUUUGUUUUAUAUGCAUUAAAAAUGGAAUUAAAAACAUCAAUUUUAUGCUAAAUAGUUAUUGUUUUCCUCUUUCAUUUUUAUUUCAAAUUUUGUCUUCUUUUUCUAUUUUUUGAAAUUUGGAUCUUGAUUGUGGGGUUGUUGAACAGAGAGAUGGUGACACAACAAAAGCUAGUAGGUGAAAUUACUAGGUUUACACUUGCUAGUAGGGGUGUAUACAGGCCGGGUUCAUUCGGAUUCUACAGUUAUCAAACCAACAUAUGUUAACUUUUUAUUUAAUAGAGGUUGUUUGGUUAUAAUACAGGUUUAUGUCGGAGUAAGUUAUGUUGGGAUUAAUUAUGCUGGGAUUAUUUUUUAUUCAUUAUUUGGUAUGUUGUAUUAAAUAUGAUAAUUGCAUAAUUUGUAAGAAGAA